This 1050-nucleotide long non-coding RNA is filed under the name Homo sapiens (human). RNAcentral's name for it is "long non-coding RNA NONHSAT245494". Lineage: Eukaryota; Metazoa; Chordata; Mammalia; Primates; Hominidae. The record is from RNAcentral.
GUGUAGUUCAUGGGGUAAGUGGUCGAAAGUAAAAUGAAUAACUUUGUAUGGGCCGUGAAGUUUGUUGUCAGGAACUAGACCUUCAUAACCCUUUAAGCAGGUUGCCACUGGCCCAUAUGCUGCUUUGUGUAAGACAAGGUUGUCCAACUCGCGGCCCAACGCAAAUUUGCAAAUUUAAAACAUGAAUUUUUUUGCGAUUUAUUAUUUUUUUUUUAGCUCAUCAUAUAUCAUUAGUGUUAGUGUAUUAUAUGUGUGACCCAAGACAGUUCUUCCAGUGUGGCCCAGGGAAGCCAAAAAAUUGAACACCCUGGUGUAAGUUAUAAGCAAGCACCUUUUUCUCAAGACACUAUGUGUUCAGCUGCUGAGAAACCAUUACAAGUAAUAAGUAUAUUUAGAUUCCGCACCCCCCCCCCCCGCCGCCUUGUCUCCAGGCAGGUUUCUAACUCACCACCAAGCAAGGGGGACUGCAUAUCCUUUGUGUAGGAGGCUUCUAAAGAUCUUCUCUUCUCUUGAGACUUUCUCCUUUAAAAAAAAAGAAAGAAAAUACCUGCAAGUUCUCCAAGGGAUGUCUGGGAUCACUAAAUAGUCUGAGGUGGUGUUUCCCUCAGGCAAGGCUGUGCCCUAGUUAAGAGCAUGGAGGUACACUGCCUGCUUGUGAAGCCUGGUGGCUCUCACCGCUGUAGCACUUUAGGAAGGUUACUUAAUGCCCCUGGCUCUUUAUCUGUAAAAUGAAGUUAAGGAAUAAAUGAGAAUGCUUAAACACAGCCCAGGACCUAACACAGAGUAAAAGCUCAAGAAUACCCAGAGGGGGUCAGCCUUAGUGGGCUGUAACUUGUAUAGGAUUUGGGGGUGGGAAUACAGAGCAGACAUUGCUAAUUCAUGCUUUGCCUGAUCUCAAGAAAUAAGAACUCUACCCUAGGCUUACUACCUACGGAGUAAGAACUACUUGGCCCUCUGGGACUGAUCUUCAAGCACUGGUCAUUGUGGGACCAAUAAGGGGCCGGUGUUCAGUAGAAAAUACUGGCUUUGGAUUAGCAUUUUGCUUCUUCC